This 501-nucleotide ribosomal RNA is filed under the name uncultured bacterium. Its description in RNAcentral is "partial 16S ribosomal RNA". It matches the Rfam family "Bacterial small subunit ribosomal RNA", at positions 30 to 523 of the family's 1533-position model. The record is from RNAcentral.
AUUGAACGCUGGCGGCAUGCCUUACACAUGCAAGUCGAACGGCAGCACGGGUGCUUGCACCUGGUGGCGAGUGGCGAACGGGUGAGUAAUAUAUCGGAACGUACCUUAUUGUGGGGGAUAACGCAGCGAAAGCUGUGCUAAUACCGCAUAAUCCCUAAGGGGGAAAGCGGGGGACCGUAAGGCCUCGCGCAAUUAGAGCGGCCGAUACCUGAUUAGCUAGUUGGUGAGGUAAAGGCUCACCAAGGCAACGAUCAGUAGCUGGUCUGAGAGGACGAUCAGGCGCACUGGGACUGAGACACGGGCACGACUCCUACGGGAGGCAGCAGUGGGGAAUUUUGGACAAUGGGGGCAACCCUGUUCCAGCAAGGCCGCGUGAGUGAAGAAGGCCUUCGGGUUGUAAAGCUCUUUUGUCAGGGAAGAAACAGCAGCUCUAACACAGUUUGCGAAUGACGGUACCUGAAGAAUAAGCACCGGCUAACUACGUGCCAGCAGCCGCCGCCG